This 457-nucleotide ribosomal RNA is filed under the name uncultured bacterium. RNAcentral describes it as "partial 16S ribosomal RNA". It matches the Rfam family "Bacterial small subunit ribosomal RNA", at positions 338 to 795 of the family's 1533-position model. The record is from RNAcentral.
CCUACGGGCGGCAGCAGUGGGGAAUAUUGCACAAUGGGGGAAACCCUGAUGCAGCGACGCCGCGUGAGUGAAGAAGUAUUUCGGUAUGUAAAGCUCUAUCAGCAGGGAAGAAAUAGCGACCUUUGGGUCGCCAGACGGUACCUGAAGAAAAAGCAUCGGCUAACUCCGUGCCAGCAGCCGCGGUAAUACGGAGGAUGCGAGCGUUAUCCGGAUUUAUGGGGUUUAAAGGGUGCGCAGGCGGCCUGUUAAGUCAGCGGUAAAAGCCCGUGGCUCAACCCCGGCGAGCCGUUGAAACUGGCGGGCUGGAGUUGGAGAGAAGUACGCGGAAUGCGUGGUGUAGCGGUGAAAUGCUUAGAGAUCGCGCAGAACCCCGAUUGCGAAGGCAGCGUACCGGCUCCACACUGACGCUGAGGCACGAAAGCGUGGGUAGCGAACAGGAUUAGAUACCCGAGUAGUC